GAUGAACGCUGGCGGCGUGCUUAACACAUGCAAGUCGAACGAAGCACUUUAUUUGAUUUCCUUCGGGACUGAUUAUUUUGUGACUGAGUGGCGGACGGGUGAGUAACGCGUGGGUAACCUGCCUUGUACAGGGGGAUAACAGUUGGAAACGGCUGCUAAUACCGCAUAAGCGCACGGCAUCGCAUGAUGCAGUGUGAAAAACUCCGGUGGUAUAAGAUGGACCCGCGUUGGAUUAGAUAGUUGGUGAGGUAACGGCCCACCAAGGCGACGAUCCAUAGCCGACCUGAGAGGGUGACCGGCCACAUUGGGACUGAGACACGGCCCAAACUCCUACGGGAGGCAGCAGUGGGGAAUAUUGCACAAUGGGCGAAAGCCUGAUGCAGCGACGCCGCGUGAGCGAAGAAGUAUUUCGGUAUGUAAAGCUCUAUCAGCAGGGAAGAUAAUGACGGUACCUGACUAAGAAGCACCGGCUAAAUACGUG
This 481-nucleotide ribosomal RNA is filed under the name uncultured bacterium. Its description in RNAcentral is "partial 16S ribosomal RNA". It matches the Rfam family "Bacterial small subunit ribosomal RNA", at positions 28 to 507 of the family's 1533-position model. The record is from RNAcentral.